UACAGAGGGGGCAAGCGUUGUUCGGAAUUACUGGGCGUAAAGGGCGCGUAGGCGGCCUUCUAAGUCGAACGUGAAAUCCCUGGGCUCAACCAGGAACUGCGUCCGAUACUGGAAGGCUUGAAUCCGGGAGAGGGAUGCGGAAUUCCAGGUGUAGCGGUGAAAUGCGUAGAUAUCUGGAGGAACACCGGUGGCGAAGGCGGCAUCCUGGACCGGUAUUGACGCUGAGGCGCGAAAGCCAGGGGAGCAAACGGG
This 252-nucleotide ribosomal RNA is filed under the name uncultured bacterium. RNAcentral describes it as "partial 16S ribosomal RNA". It matches the Rfam family "Bacterial small subunit ribosomal RNA", at positions 524 to 776 of the family's 1533-position model. The record is from RNAcentral.